This 75-nucleotide transfer RNA is filed under the name bacterium. RNAcentral describes it as "tRNA-Arg". It matches the Rfam family "tRNA". From Rfam's summary of the family: Transfer RNA (tRNA) molecules are approximately 80 nucleotides in length. Their secondary structure includes four short double-helical elements and three loops (D, anti-codon, and T loops). The record is from RNAcentral.
CUGGCAUUAGUAUAAUGGAUAAUACAGGGGAUUUCUACUCCCUAGAUGUGGGUUCGAUUCCUGCAUGCCGGACCA